GAUGAACGCUGGCGGCGUGCCUAAUACAUGCAAGUCGAGCGAACGGACGAGACUCUUGCUUCUCUGAUGUUAGCGGCGGACGGGUGACUAGCACGUGGAUUACCCACCUCUACGACUUGGAUCACUUCGGGAAACCGUAGCUAAUACCGGAUAAUAUUUUUAGUCUCAUGGUUGGAAAGUGAAAUACGUUCUUGCUGUCACUUCUACAUGUAUCCGCGCUGCUUUAGCUAUUUGGUAAGGUAACGGCUUACCAUGGCCGCGAUGCAUAGCCGACCUGAGAGCGUGAACGGCCACACUGGGACUGGAAGGCGGUCCAGACUCCUACGGGAGGCAGCAGUAGGGAAUCGUGCGAGAUGGGCGAAAGCCUGACGGAGCAACGCCGCGUGGAUGCUGAAGGUCUGCGGGUCGUAAGACUCUCUUAUUGGGGAAGAACAUAUGUGCAAGGAACGAAGCACAUCUUGACGGUACCUAGACAGAAAGCCACGGCUAACUACGUG
Molecule: ribosomal RNA, 497 nt
Filed under: uncultured bacterium
Lineage: Bacteria
Description: partial 16S ribosomal RNA
Rfam family: Bacterial small subunit ribosomal RNA
Source: RNAcentral